GGAGCUGUAGCUCAAUCCGGUUAGAGCGCCGGCCUGUCACGCCGGAGGUCGCGGGUUCAAGUCCCGUCAGCUCCGCCA
Molecule: transfer RNA, 78 nt
Filed under: Synergistaceae bacterium OttesenSCG-928-D05
Lineage: Bacteria; Thermotogati; Synergistota; Synergistia; Synergistales; Synergistaceae
Description: tRNA-Asp
Rfam family: tRNA
About the family: Transfer RNA (tRNA) molecules are approximately 80 nucleotides in length. Their secondary structure includes four short double-helical elements and three loops (D, anti-codon, and T loops).
Source: RNAcentral